UAUUACCUGCCUGGAGAUGGGUUGGAAGGUGACACAUUACAUAUGUUAGAGGAUGUGUCUAUGGAGAAUGGAAGGCAAAGGAGAGAGGAGAUGAGGAGGAAGGGGCGAUGAAUACAAUAGCAGAAUAAAACAGAUGAGGCGCACCUGAGGCGCUCAUGGGAAGGGGAGGGGACACAGCUGGGCAGCAGCGGCGGAGCUGGACCCGAGCCCAGGCCGGUGGCCGUGAACUGGCGCUCAGGCUCUCCUGCACGGCCCCAGACCAAGGAGGGGGCAGGGCAGCAGGCAGAGCAUCCUGGACUCGCCUCAUGCUGCUCCAGGGUGCAGUGUGCCUGGAGGCCUCUUUCUGUGGAGGUGGGAGCUGGUGGGUCAGGAGAGGCUUUAUGGGGGACCCUCUGAAGGUUGACAAUACACCUUUGCAAGUAUUUACCUCCUACCUGGUGCUAGGAAAAGUGCUUUUCCUAGGUCAUCUCAUUUUAUCUCCACAACAGCCCUGUGAGCUAGACAGUAUUGCCAACCCUGUUUUACAGGUGGAGGAACUGAGACAUAAACCGGGGACCCAGGAGAGCCAGCCAGUAAGAGGCUGAGCUGGGACUCCGCUGGUGUCCUUGCUGCCCUGACAGGAGAGAAGGGUGGGGGCAGGAAGUGGCGCUGAGGGAGCCUGAGUUUCGGCCGGGAGGGACCACAGGGACCAGGCUGAAGGGCAUGGGGUUACACAACAGAGUAGAGGCCUUCUGCAGGAAUCAGGGCAGGACGGUACUUCUCGGAGAGUCCUGGAGGGCUGAGUGCGGGAAGCUGGAGGCAGGGGCUGACCGACACGGUGGGUCAGGCCAAGUGCACAGCAAGUGGGCCAGGCGGGCCGCCCAGGCUGGUGGGAAGGCGGGGCGAAUGGGAUUGUGCACCCUUGGGACUUCCAGGUGGAGGUGAACAUGCGCUCCAGGGGCCCGGAGCUGUGGGGAGAGAUGGGGCCGGAGAUGGGGCUGGACAGGGUGAAUGGGCAUCUGGGCUGUAACAGAGGUCACAGAGAUGCCCAGGAGAGGGUGUACCUCAGAGAUCGUAGAAUGAGGACGCACUCUGUGAGCUGACAUGGUGCGUUUUCCAAAUUUGUGGUUAAGUGACAGAUGCAAAAUGCAAGACCGUGUAUGUAGGGUGCUACCUUUUGCAUAAGAAAUAGGAGGAAAUAGGAAAAUAUUCAUGUGUCUGCUUUUUUUUUCUUUCUCUUUUUGAAAAAAAAAAAAAAAAAAAAAGAGAUGCAAAGAGGAUAAGACGGCAGUUACCAGGUGCGGGUGGGUACCAGUGGAGGGGCCAGGGAGCUGUACUUCUUUGAGUUUAACUUGAUGCAUAGAUCUGGCUUUGGAACCAAUUUAAUCCUCUAUACACUUAAAAAAAAAAUCAUCAAACAUUAGAGGAAAAAAACUUAUAGUGGAACAUAAGCAGAAACAAAUGAACCGAACUGUAUUUCAAAUUAAUGACAUAACCAUAGUGAGGGGGGGCUUUGGAACACAAGACUUUGGCUGUAUAUCCUCCAGGCUACGAACAGCAGGACUGCAGAUAAAUAUUGACCUCCGCUUUUGGCAGUGGUGUGGGAUGGCAAUUCUGAAACUAUUUUCUGUGAUUUGUAGGAAUGAGCCAGAAGAAAAUAGACUGAGGAUGAUGGGAGUUGGGUUUCUCACUCUCAGAGAAACAAGUUACAAAUAUGGAAAGACAGAAGGCUAGAGUGGACCCAGAGCUAGAAUUGAAGCCUCCAGAACGAACGCAGCCCUGUCACACUUUGACUUUAACCGGUGAGACCCAUGUCAGACGGCUGACCUCCCAAACUGUAAAAUAAGAAAUUCGUGUUUUUCUAAGCCGGUAAGUUUGCAGUCAUUUGUUACAGCAGCAACAAGAAACAAAUAUACAUCCCUUCUGUAGUAUCCUUGACAAAAAUGCAUAACUCGAAUGUAAUUCUGAGGACCCGUAAAAUAAAUGCAGAUUAUGGGACAUUCUGAAUAACCUGCCUGUUCUCUUACCAAAAAACUUAGAAUCAUGAAAGACAAAGAAAGGCAGGUGAAAGGAGACUAAAGUGACAUGGCAGGUAAGUGCAAAACGUGGUCCUGGAUUUGAGCCCGGCCUGGGGGGACAAUUGGCAAAAUGUAAGUGUGAACUGGGAGUUCCGUAGUAGUCCCAUGUUCACGUUACAUUUCCAGAUAUUGAAAAUUGUGCUG
Equus caballus (horse) is the source of this 2201-nucleotide long non-coding RNA. Lineage: Eukaryota; Metazoa; Chordata; Mammalia; Perissodactyla; Equidae. The record is from Ensembl.